AGUAAUACAUCGGAACGUGCCCGAGAGUGGGGGAUAACGAGGCGAAAGCUUUGCUAAUACCGCAUACGAUCUCAGGAUGAAAGCAGGGGACCGCAAGGCCUUGCGCUCGCGGAGCGGCCGAUGGCAGAUUAGGUAGUUGGUGGGAUAAAAGCUUACCAAGCCGACGAUCUGUAGCUGGUCUGAGAGGACGACCAGCCACACUGGGACUGAGACACGGCCCAG
RNAcentral lists this ribosomal RNA (222 nucleotides) under uncultured bacterium. RNAcentral describes it as "partial 16S ribosomal RNA". It matches the Rfam family "Bacterial small subunit ribosomal RNA", at positions 109 to 334 of the family's 1533-position model. The record is from RNAcentral.